Molecule: ribosomal RNA, 476 nt
Filed under: uncultured bacterium
Lineage: Bacteria
Description: bacterial SSU rRNA
Rfam family: Bacterial small subunit ribosomal RNA
Source: RNAcentral
UAGUCCACACCGUAAACGAUGAGAGCUAGUUGUCUGCAAGCAUGCUUGUAGGUGACGCAGCUAACGCAUUAAGCUCUCCGCCUGGGGAGUACGGUCGCAAGAUUAAAACUCAAAGAAAUUGACGGGGGCCCGCACAAGCGGUGGAGCAUGUGGUUUAAUUCGAAGCAACGCGAAGAACCUUACCUGGACUUGACAUGCCUGUCGUACCCUAUCGAAAGACUGGGGUCAGCUAGGCUGGACAGUGCACAGGUGCUGCAUGGCUGCCGUCAGCUCGUGCCGUGAGGUGUUGGGUUAAGUCCCGCAACGAGCGCAACCCUUAUCGUUAGUUGCCAUCAGACAGUGAUGUGCUGGGCACUCUAACGAGACUGCCGGUGAUAAGCCGGAGGAAGGUGGGAUGACGUCAAGUCAGUAUGGCCCUUAUGUCCAGGGCUGCACACGUGCUACAAUGGAUGGUAUAAUGGGUCGCCAAACCGCGG